UGUUAAUGACCCGGCCUCCUCAUUGGGGCCGAUCACUAGAUCAAAGCUACGCUAGGGAUAACAGGCUAAUUGAGGGUUAUAGACCGCAUAGAGCCCUCAGUUUGGCACCUCGAUGUCGACUUAUCUCUUCCUGGCAGUGCAGAAGCUGCCAAGGGUCCUAUUGUUCAUAGGUUAAAGAGGUACAUGAGUUGGGUUAACAACGUCGCGAGACAGUUGGGUUCCUAUCUAGCAGGGGUAAAGAAAAGGAAAGGUGAAGACCACGACCCAGUACGAGAGGAUCUUUCGAAGGGGACCACUGGUGACUAUCGAGGAAGAGAUAACAGCUAAGUCCCCAAAAGUGAAGUACUGAACCCAUCUCAAGUACGAAACUUGCUUCACCUUCCAUGGCUAAAAUAGAGAUCUAGAUC
Molecule: ribosomal RNA, 407 nt
Filed under: Prymnesium parvum
Lineage: Eukaryota; Haptophyta; Prymnesiales; Prymnesiaceae
Description: partial Bacterial large subunit ribosomal RNA
Rfam family: Bacterial large subunit ribosomal RNA
Source: RNAcentral